Long non-coding RNA from Triticum aestivum (bread wheat), 7499 nucleotides. RefSeq lists it as uncharacterized. The record is from RefSeq and is a predicted model, not a curated record. The transcript has 2 exons. NCBI's taxonomy places the organism in Eukaryota, Viridiplantae, Streptophyta, Magnoliopsida, Poales, Poaceae.
CCGAACGCCUGUCGCUAUCUUAUCCUCUCCCAGUCCCUUCUCCACCGCUCACUCGCAUCCCACACACUCGCCUUGCGGAGAACUGUCUUGCGCCGGUGACGAGGCAUGCGACGUCGGAAAGGAGCCAGGGGGCGACGGAGGCGAGGAGGUGGAAGAACGCCAUCUAGCAGCUCCACCGGACCCAACAUCGGGGGUGUCCCGCGGCGGAGACGAGGCAGGCUGCGCUGUCCUCGAGGUGUUGCGGCUUGCGGCCACGGGGGAGGAGGCUGAGGAGGCCCCCUAGUUGUGCUCCGACGGAUCCCAGAUGGAGAGCCCGAGCGCUAGCAUGGGGAGGAACCACCGGUUGCAGCGGUGGCGACGGAGAGGAGGCGCGGACGAAGGAGCUGUGAUGGAGGUGGUCGGGCUUAGGUGUGGCGGGGGCAGGCGGAGAGGAGGCCCGGCGAAGGAUCUGUGAUGGAGAUGGCCGCGCUUAGGUGCGGCGGGGGCGACGGAAAGGAGGCGCGGCGAAGGAGCUGCGCUGGCGAUUGCCGCAUUUAGGUGCGGCGGGUGUCGAGAUGCAGCCGGAGAUCUAUGCUGCGUGGUGGCACUGCUUCCGUCGGCACUGGCCGCGCACUUCCUGGUGGUCACCACGGAGCUCCACCUUGGCGUUCACGAGUUUGAACUACGCAAGGACGGGGCGGCUCGCUGGACUAGCCAUGCCAUGUCUACUACCAAUGGUGCCCGAGCCGGCUGUCAACGAAGAGAUGGUGUCCUGAGGCAAUGAUGUUUCUGGGCUUGUCCCAUUUUGGGCUGGUUCGCUGGAGGGGAGGAGCUAGAUCGCUAGCGACAAGUUUGUGCGAUGCGGGAUCGUUCGGGCUGGAGGGGUACUUCUACCGAACGAGUUUGUUCGUUCCAGCACCCUUCCAGUACGAACGAUUUGUUCGGGAUGGGGUGCCUCCAGGCCGAACGUACGCGCGUUAUCGGCGUCCUUUUUUCUUCUUUCUCUUUUUUAUUUAAAGAAAAGGCAAGCAGUUUCUGCCCUAUGCAUUUCAAAACGAGGUAAUAUCAUCCGGAGUCACACAAUUUGCAUCGCAUGUUAGUUUGGUGCUAGAACUUUCAAAAAUAUGUUUUUAUGGUCACCUAACUUGACUCAAGCGUGCAAAUACGGUCACAGUAUGCAUAUGCAGUCGUAUCCAUGUAUAUGACCCCACCUAUCAGUGAGUGAUAGCACUAGGCGCGACAUAGCUUUACAAAAAAAACACCCUCAUAUUUUUUUAGUUGAACAAAAAGUCAACCACCGGGACACAUAUUUGCACAAAAUAUUCACAUUUUUUAUUUACAGAAAAACCCUGACCACAGUGCUGCCGGAAAAUUGACAACAAAAACAGGGUCGGUGCCUCGGUGGGACUCGAACCAACAACCAAGACUUCUAAUACGGGACGAUCUAGCAUUUUUCUUUGAGAAUCGGACGAUCUAGCUACUACAAGAGCCAGGCCAGUACGCACGUUAAAUAACUUAUAUCUAAUGUGAAACAAAAAAAAACUUAUAUUUAAAUGUGGAGCUUUAAUGGGCUGCGCAUACUGCGGCCCACUUUGCACGCGCUAUUUUUUUAGAUACCUGUAGAUGAUAAGUAAUAAAAUUAUAUUCAAAUAUUUAUGUGCUAUACAUACAGAUGAUGAUUAGUAAAUAAAAACAUUUAAAUAUAAACCUGUGUAUUAUAUAUGAAAUAUUUAGUAAAACGUAAGCAAUAAAUAUAUUUAAGAUAUUUGUAAAACCAUAAGUAAUAAAAUUAUGUUCAAAUGUUUGCGUGUUAAAAAUACUAUACAUGCAAACCAUGAUUAUUUAGUAAAAAACAUUUAAAUAUAAAUCUGUAUAUUAUAUAAAAUAAGUAUGCUUAAUGCAUCUAAAAAAAUAUGAACUUGCGGGUUAUAUUUAAAUUAUAUAAAAUGACGAAUACAAACAUUUACUUGUGUAUAAAUUUUACUCAACACUUAUAUGGAAAAAUAUAUAAAUUAAAUAUUAGCCAUGAUUGAAUGUCCAUAUUAAUAGUUUAAAUUUUAAAUUAUAAAUAUUUUUAAUUAUACAAACAUUGAACUAUACAAAUGUGUGUACCAUUAUUUAAAUGUUUAAAUAAUUAAAAUAAUAUUUCUGAAUUAUAUUUUGAAAACUAAAUAUGUAAUACACACAUUUAUAUAACACACUGAUUUAUAUAAUACUCAGGUUUCUAAAAUAUUCAGUAAAUAAUUUUAUCUUAAAAAAUAAGUGCGAAAAUAUGUUUUUGAGGGAUCAUCCAUUUAUAUAUAAAAACAUGUGCAAAAGUAUGUUCUUUGAGUCCAAACAUGCUUUAUUUAUUAUGCGGAAAUAUUUAUGUGCAAAAGUAUGUAAUAAACACAUUUAUAUAACACACAGUUUUACAAAUAUCUUUAAAAAAUAGCACGUGCAAAAUAGGCGGCGAUAUACGCAGCCCAUUUAAGCUCCACAUGUGUAACACAAUCGUUAUCAAUAUUAGAUAUACAUACUUGAACCGCUGAAAAAAAGAUAUAAAGACUUGAAGGUUGGAGCGGCUAGAGCGUUCCCUGUUAGAAUUGGUCGCUUUGCAUAAAUGGGUCGCAAGUAGACUUUUCCGUAAAUUUUAAAAAAUGUUGGUGUUUUUUUAAUAAAAAUACAUCAUUUUUUUUGCGUUCAAACUUGAGAGCUUUAUUCAACUGAAGAAAACCUGCCAUCAUCAGCCAUUAGGCUAGUGAGCAGGAAGGAAGGUCUAGUGUCAGUCCAACUCUCGGUUACCAUCAGUGAGCAUGCAUGCUUAGCACAAAGAUGGGCCGGUACAUUGGCUGACCUGCUUACAUAUUGAAUACAAAAGGAAGUAAAAUUUGCCGCUAGCUCUUCAAUUUCUACAAGUAAAGGUGCCACAACAGAGCGAUUAUUGUGGCGAGAUGUCCAGAGGUUCACUACCUCCAGGCAGUCGGUCUCCAUGAUCACGUGUGAAAACCCACGCAAACUUGCAAAAAUAACACCAUCCCUCAGUGCUAGUGCUUCACCAAUGAACGGAUCUGUAACCCCAUGAUGAGGUUUACUCCAAGAACCCAGCAAGCGAUUGUCAGAACGAGCAACUCCUCCUGCACCACACCUUACCAAGACCAAACUCAUUGCUGCAUCUUUAUUAAUCUUAAUCACUCCCGGAUCCGGAGGAAUCCAACCGUAUCCUGGUAGUAUAACAUCUGCAGCUUGGGGUAUAUCCAAAACGGCCAGAUCAUCCUUGAUCCGCCUAAUAGUCAUUACUGGGUCCAGCUUCUCUCCGUCAUGUGUAAUUCUGUUUCUUGAAUACCAGAUCGCCCACAUAACGGAAAUCAUCUGAGAUCUUUGCAUAUCCGUGAACUGUGGGUCAGACAAGAUGUCUCGCGCCCACGUAUCGGGAUGAAGCUGAGGCCGGCGCACACCCAGCCAAGCAUAAGCUUCCUCCCAGAACAUUUUUGCAUGGGAGCAAUGCACUAGAGCGUGCAUCAAAUCCUCAUCCAUUGCCAAACACACUUUGCAUCUUCCAAUUUCUUGUAUAUGUCUACGCCUCAGAGUGCAUUCAUCUGGUAAUAUUUCCCGCACAACUCGCCACCAGAAUACACGCACUUUUGGCAAAACCUUAAGCUUCCAUAAUCGCUUCCACAUCUGUCCAUCAGUCUGUGAGGUACUUGUAGCCGUCCCUUCCUCUAGAGCUACACGCUCUUUGCAAGUCACGAGAGCACGGUACGCAGGUUUGCCAGAGUAGUUGCCAUUCCUUUCAUGGGCCCAAGCAAGGAAAUCAUGGCCUCCUCCGUGACGCAGCGGCAUAUUAAGUAUAGAUUCUGCUUCCGGGGGGAUGAACACGUCCCGAAUCAAGUCUCUCUUCCAAGACCAAUUCUCUUCAUCUAUAAGGUCACUCACCCAUGCUAGAGUAGUCCCACCAGGUAUAACAGUUGGCCCGAGAGAUGACAGCCCCGGGACCCAUCGGUCUUCCCAUAUGGAGAUGGUAGUACCAGUCCCCACACGUUUCACUAAGCCUUCCUCAAGAGCUUCACGGCCUGCCACAAUGGCUCUCCACACAGCUGAAGAUGAGCGCGGAACAGCGGCAUCCAUGAACUCUCCAUCAGGGAAAUAACGUCCCUUCAUAACACGACCACAUAGGGAAUCUGGAUUGGAGAUGAAACACCAUCCAUGUUUUCCAAGUAGAGCCAAGUUAAACAGUUGCAAAUCUCGAAAGCCCAUGCCACCAUUAACUUUUGGAGAUGCGAGACUGUCCCAUGAUAUCCAGUGCAAGGAUCGUCUAUCAAGGGAACCACUCCACCAGAAUUUCGCCAUGCAAGACGUCGGCUGUUUGCAAACCUUCUUCGUCAAUUUGAAACAGCUCAUGCUGAAGGUUGGAAUAGCCUGAAUAAUUGAUUUUAUAAGGAUCUCUCUCCCUGCACAAGCUAACAACCGUUCAGCCCAUCCAUGCAUUUUGCUUCUUGAUUUUUCACCAAUAUGCUCAAACGUAUCACUGGUGAUCCUCCCGACUGCAGUAGGAAGGCCCAAAUAUCUAUCACUGAACGUUUCCACCAGAAUACUUAGAACUUGCUUAAUUGCCUCUCGCCUGUUAGUAGGCAUAUUGGGAGAGAAAAAUAUGGCACUUUUGUCACGGCUGACUGCCUGCCCCGAACAUGAGGCAUAGAUCCGUAAGAUUCUAUUGAGUCUAUCUGCGCUAUCCAUAGUUGCACUGAUGAAUACUAAGCAAUCAUCUGCAAACAGUAAAUGGUUAACCCAAGGAGCUCUGAAGGACACCCAUAUACCUCUGUCAAUAUGAUCACCUCCAUAGAACUUCAGUAGAGAAGUAAGCCCUUCAACACAAAGAAGGAACAAAAAGGGUGACACUGGAUCCCCCUGUCGGAAACCCCUUGAAGGUGUGAAAAAAGGCAGCAGCUCGCCAUUAACUCUAACUGUGUAUCUCACUGAUGAAACACAUUUCAUAACCAGCCGCACAAAAUUUGCACUGAAGCCAAGUUUCAACAUGAUUGCUUCUAGAUAAUGCCAUUCCACACGGUCAUAAGCCUUCAUCAUGUCUAACUUAACUGCACACGAAUAGUUUUUCCCUUUCUUUCGUCUCCUCAUCGUAUGUACACUCUCAAAUGCAACAAGCACAUUAUCUGUGAUCAGACGACCAGGAACAAACGCACGUUGCUCCUCACCCCCAACUAUAUCCAUCAAUACUUUGAGACGAUUAGUAAUCAUCUUCGCAGCAAUUUUAUAGGGAACUGAGCACAAGGAUAUAGGACGGUACUGUGUAAUGGGCUAGGGUGACGUACCUUCGGUAUGAGGGUAAUUGAUGUAUCAUUAAAGCCUGGUGGAAGUUCCCCUCCGUUAACAAAAUCAAGUAUCGCCGGCACCAGAUCAUCUUGUAUGAGUUCCCAAUGCCUCUGAAAAAACCCCGCGGUGAAUCCAUCAACACCCGGAGCUUUGGAUGGCGACAUCUGAAAGAGUGAUGUCCGUGCCUCAUCUGCCUCAAACGGUUUAUCCAGGGAGGUGUUCAUCUCCAUCGUAACCCGUUCAGGAACAAACUGUAGCAGUUCAUCCAUUACAUGAAACCUUGCGAGGUAUACAACGCUUGGUAGAACGAUUGUACCUCACUUUUGUCCUCAUCUUCAGAAGUACAGACUGAACCGUCCGCUCGCUAAAGGUUGGAAAUUCUGUUCAUACGCUUACGCUGAGCUGCUUGGGCCUGGUAAUAUUUUGUGUUGCGAUCGCCCUCACGCAGCCAUGGCACCCUCGACCUCUGUCGUAACCACACUUCCCCCUGCCGGAGAGCCUCCCGCAAUUUAACAACGAUAGAUUUCUCCUCCUCGGAGGGUCCCUUGCCAACAGACUGCCUCCGAACCAUCUCAAGUUUUUUUCUGUAAUUUCCUUACAGUUCUCGCUAGGCAACCAAACUCCCUUGCUCCCCAAGAACCCAGCUCCCUCUGCAUACACUGCAAAGUAGCUGAUAUCGAUGCAAGACCAUGCUCGGUAUGGUUCCGUCGCCACAUUUCUGCUACAACAUUGUCAUACUCCGCAUGAGACUGCCAUACAUCCUCAUAACGAAAUUGCUUUGGUCCCCUUAUAUUCAAAGAAUCACGAGUUUCAACAAGUACAAAGCAAUGGUCUGACUCUAUAGAACUAAUAUGACGUACACGAGAAAGCUCGUAUCUUUGCAGAUAUACAGCAUUUGCUACACCUCGAUCAAGACGGGCUUUAACAUUAGCUCCACCCGCCUGCCUAUUAUCCCAUGUGAAGGGUACGCCUGAGAAGCCCAUGUCCUGCAGAGCGCACUCUUCCAGAGCCUCUCGAAACGCCCGCAUCUGCCACUCCGGUCUAGCUGCUCGACUGAAGUGCUCAGUGCCAUACAACGUCUCGUUAAAAUCUCCAACACACAUCCAUGCCUGAUGUUGAAUAGCGUGCAGUGUGCAUAGACAUCUCCAGCUUUGAUGCCUAUCCUCACUUCUUGGAGCUCCAUAGAACCCCGUAAAUCUCCAUUCCGGAGCACUAUUAUCAGCUUUCCGGACCAUAGCAUCGAUAUGACCAGAACUGAAGUUUUUGAGAUCAACUAUCAUGUCUUUGGACCAAAACAGUCCAAUUCCACCACUAAGCCCAUUACUAUCCACCGCAAAACAUCCCGCAAGCCUAAGUGUUUGCUGUAAUCUUUCCACUCUCUUCGCCCUAAUCUUUGUCUCCAUAACAAAAACUAGGGAAGGCCCUUCUUGCUUCACAAUUUUGCGAAGCUCUCGAACUGCCUCGGGGUUCCCAAGCCCCCGGCAGUUCCAGCUUAAACAAUUCAUUGGCUCCGGCAGGGCUGACUAUCAGCCGCUGCCGAGUCUUCCGAAGUUAGGGGCGUAGGUUUCUUCUUCUUUGGAUCAGGCUCAACUGCAGAAUCCUCCCCAACCUUUGGCCCUACGUUAUUGGCCUUUCCACCUGAAUUGAAAACCACUAUAUCCAUUUGCGCAACUGUGCCAGUACCAUGAUCUUUUGCACCGUCCGCCAAUGCCUCUGGAUCCACCCUCCUGUAGACCUUAUUCUGCUGUGGGCCUCCCUUUUUUUUAUUUGUAUUCUCUCUAUACUUUACUGGGGAAGUAACCUCAGCUGAACCCAUAGCUUUCUUCUUUGGCGCAUUUGCAUCAGUCCUGCAGUUAUUUGAGCUCUGCUGCUCUUUUGAUGCACUAUCCCCUGAGGCAGCAGGUUUCUUGUCCUCCGGUGCUCUCAGACUUGUAUUAAACGGCAAAUCUCCAUUCUCAUCUCGAGUACCAGGCGUAGGACAGACAAUAUCCACGUGGCCAAGUCUACCACAGGAAAAACAAAAAUUGGGGACUUGCUCAUACUGCACAUCAUACCAGUCCCUACCCUGUCUCUUUGCAGAGUCAAUUAAGAUCCAUUGCCGCAAGGGUUUAGAUACAUCAAUUGUAACAUGGGUUCUCAGAAACCCCCCUCCCACGGGAUCAAACUGUACUGACUUCACCUGUUUAUCAAUCUGUUUUGCCACCGCCAAA